GUUUCAUUCCGUUUCAUUGCAUUGCAUCGCAUCAAAUUCCGGUGUAGUGGUGGGCAAUGGCGUGGAUGGAAUGGGAUGAACGAGGCCGAAACCGAAGCCGAAACCGAAGCCGAAACCGCAACCAAAA
This 127-nucleotide small RNA is filed under the name Pseudo-nitzschia pungens. Its description in RNAcentral is "partial Cyanobacteria transfer-messenger RNA". The record is from RNAcentral. Lineage: Eukaryota; Bacillariophyta; Bacillariophyceae; Bacillariales; Bacillariaceae.